RNAcentral lists this transfer RNA (71 nucleotides) under Stegodyphus mimosarum. It matches the Rfam family "tRNA". From Rfam's summary of the family: Transfer RNA (tRNA) molecules are approximately 80 nucleotides in length. Their secondary structure includes four short double-helical elements and three loops (D, anti-codon, and T loops). Lineage: Eukaryota; Metazoa; Arthropoda; Arachnida; Araneae; Eresidae. The record is from Rfam by way of RNAcentral.
AUCUUCAUGGUGUAACGCUAGCACACUCGAAGUAUAUUCGAGAGGUCCAGGUUCGAAUCCCGGUAAGGGCA